CUUUGCCUACGGGAGGCAGCAGUAGGGAAUCUUCCACAAUGGGCGAAAGCCUGAUGGAGCAACGCCGCGUGGGUGAAGAAGGUCUUCGGAUCGUAAAACCCUGUUGUUAGAGAAGAAAGUGCGUGAGAGUAACUGUUCACGUUUCGACGGUAUCUAACCAGAAAGCCACGGCUAACUACGUGCCAGCAGCCGCGGUAAUACGUAGGUGGCAAGCGAUAUCCGGAUUUAUUGGGCGUAAAGGGAACGCAGGCGGCCUUUUAAGUCUGAUGUGAAAGCCUUUGG
Molecule: ribosomal RNA, 282 nt
Filed under: uncultured bacterium
Lineage: Bacteria
Description: partial 16S ribosomal RNA
Rfam family: Bacterial small subunit ribosomal RNA
Source: RNAcentral